Molecule: ribosomal RNA, 253 nt
Filed under: uncultured bacterium
Lineage: Bacteria
Description: partial 16S ribosomal RNA
Rfam family: Bacterial small subunit ribosomal RNA
Source: RNAcentral
UACGUAGGAUGCAAGCGUUGUCCGGAAUUAUUGGGCGUAAAGAGCGCGCAGGCGGUCUAUCAAGUCAGAUGUGAAAUAUCCGGGCUUAACCCGGAGGGGUCAGUUGAAACUGGUAGACUAGAGUACAGCAGAGGAUAGUGGAAUUCCCGGUGUAGUGGUGAAAUGCGUAGAUAUCGUAAGGAAGACCAGUGGCGAAGGCGGGUCUCUGGACAGUUCCUGACGCUGAGGCACGAAGGCCAGGGGAGCAAACGGG